AAAUGUUCAAGAGGAGCGUCAUGAGAACACAUCAAUUCACAUUUAAAUUUAAGUUAUCCUGUGUGUGAUGUGUUCUCAGGUCGCCCCUGCUGGACGUUU
This 99-nucleotide microRNA precursor is filed under the name Daucus carota subsp. sativus. RNAcentral's name for it is "sRNA DCAR_mi00016". It matches the Rfam family "MIR398 microRNA precursor family". Lineage: Eukaryota; Viridiplantae; Streptophyta; Magnoliopsida; Apiales; Apiaceae. The record is from Rfam by way of RNAcentral.